Molecule: long non-coding RNA, 602 nt
Organism: Notolabrus celidotus (New Zealand spotty)
Lineage: Eukaryota; Metazoa; Chordata; Actinopteri; Labriformes; Labridae
Exons: 2
Source: RefSeq, a predicted model, not a curated record
GCCACCUCUCCUGUCCUGUGUGGAUUUGGUCGCCCUAAAGCUCGGGCAGGUUUCAGGACCAGGACAUCUAAGUGAGUCGGACAUUUUCAGCAGCAUUCAGAAUACAUUUCCUGCUUCAGCUGAGGGAAACUUUAAAUACAUGCAAAUGGAUGCAAUAGACUGCUACGGACAUGACACCUGACACCUGCCUCUUUCAGUUCAUCAGACGUCAGAGUUUGUACCGUGAGAAUGGCUGACGUGUCAGACAGGUACAUUUUUAAAAGCAGGUGCCACACUGAUCUAAUCCACAAUGACCAGCACACCCUCUCUCUCUGCUUUGGAGUCUGUGAAUGGACACUUUGUUUUUUCCAGGACUCAUGACAAAUUGUGGGAAACGUCUGUGGCUCUUUACGUCCGCGUUCAUAAGCUGCUGAUAAACUCUGCACUUUGCCCUCCCUCUCUGUGAUCGCUUGGGAAAGCUGGUCCCAGAGAGUUUUUCCAAAAUGAUGCCUUCGAACACGGUAUCUUUAAUAACUGCUUGCACUUGUUCCAGAUGAUGCAUGCUGGUUUUGUGUUUUAAGUAAACAAAUAAAUGUCUUGCAUUCCAUGCAGGGUUAAACUGA